AUUGAACGCUGGCGGCAGGCCUAACACAUGCAAGUCGAGCGGUUGAGGUAGCUUGCUACCGAUGCAGCGGCGGACGGGUGAGUAAUACAUGGGAAUCUGCCUGGUAGUGGGGGACAACGUUUCGAAAGGAACGCUAAUACCGCAUACGCCCUACGGGAGAAAGGGGGGGAUCUUCGGACCUCUCGCUCUCAGAUGAGCCCAUGUCGGAUUAGCUUGUUGGGGAGGUAAAGGCUCACCAAGGCGACGAUCCGUAACUGGUCUGAGAGGAUGAUCAGUCACACUGGAACUGAGACACGGUCCAGACUCCUACGGGAGGCAGCAGUGGGGAAUAUUGGACAAUGGGCGCAAGCCUGAUCCAGCCAUGCCGCGUGUGUGAAGAAGGCCUUAGGGUUGUAAAGCACUUUCAGUGGGGAGAAAGGUUAUUCACCUAAUACGUGAGUAAAUUGAUGUUACCCACAGAAGAAGCACCGGCUAACUCCGUGCCAGCCGCCGCAGUAA
This 498-nucleotide ribosomal RNA is filed under the name uncultured bacterium. Its description in RNAcentral is "partial 16S ribosomal RNA". It matches the Rfam family "Bacterial small subunit ribosomal RNA", at positions 30 to 523 of the family's 1533-position model. The record is from RNAcentral.